Musa acuminata AAA Group (dessert banana) is the source of this 697-nucleotide long non-coding RNA. RefSeq lists it as uncharacterized. The record is from RefSeq and is a predicted model, not a curated record. The transcript has 2 exons. Lineage: Eukaryota; Viridiplantae; Streptophyta; Magnoliopsida; Zingiberales; Musaceae.
AUCUAAGCAUUCGCUUUCUUUCUCUCGUUCUAUUAAUUAGACUCUUUAUUUUCUUUUGUUCUGUUUCCUCUUUUUUAUGGCUUUAGUAGUAGCAGUAGUAGUAGUUAGUACUUGGGGUAACAAACUACAAAGGCAUCCAAGAAGUGAUGGCAUUGGCCUCUUCUCGUAUAAGUAGUCGGUUGCCCACCCCAACCACGCGCCCCCCCCACCCCCCUUCUGUUCUUCCGCCGCUCCCCGUCACCUCCUCUCUUGGCCUCCUCCUCACGGUUUAUUUGGGUUGGUUUUCCUUCAACAGAUGAGGAGGAUUGGGAUCGUCCAGACGACUCCGACGUAUGUUGUAGAGGACCCCAUCGAUGGCCGGACUAUUGGGAGGAGACAGGCGACACCGCUCUGCUAGCUAGCUCCGCUAUCUGCUGCCCCGACAAGGCCGCGUCAGUGUAGCUUAAGUGGAGGAGACGGGUCCGGCGACAGCCGCGGCGUGGGAGAUGCGUCUGCAGCUUGCAGAGGGGAUGUUGGGCAUUUGGGUUUGAGCGUGACCAUUGGCAGGCAUGAGGAAGGAAGAGACAAUCCGAGGAUUUCACUUUGGUCGGUUGGCCGAGAGAGAGUUGCGCAAUAAUUUAACGUUGCUUUUUAUCCUUGUACGAAUCCUUAUAGUUUCCGUUCCCUGAGCUUUAAUUAUUUCUCUUCAAAACGUUUA